GACCCACUCGUUCCCAUCCCGAACACGACCGUUAAGCCCUCCAGCGCCGAUGGUACUUGGGGCGAAGGCCCCCGGGAGAGUAGGACGUUGCCAGGC
RNAcentral lists this ribosomal RNA (96 nucleotides) under Paenactinomyces guangxiensis. Lineage: Bacteria; Bacillati; Bacillota; Bacilli; Caryophanales; Thermoactinomycetaceae. The record is from RNAcentral.